UUACUGAUAUAAAUACCAUCCUCCUCAGCGGACCAUUUGCAAUGUGUCUCUCAGAGCUAAAUCAGUACUCUUAAUUGCAACAUCAGUUAUGGGCCCUGCUCAAUGAUGAGACGAGCAAAGAUAUGAGGAUGUUCUCAGCCAAAGCUAUUUAUACACACCGCACGGUCCUAAAUUAUCUGGCAGGGAGGGGAUGGGAAACGGCAGAAAGUUGACAGGACUGAAAACUGAAUCCAUCCCCCACUUUUUGGACCAUUCCCACAAGAGAGACUAUUCUAGGCACCUCCUUUCUGAGAGAAAAAGCAGUGAGCAUAACACUAGACUGACAACUUGAAACUCAGCCUAGCUGACUGGCAUUAUGGGAGCUGACCAGCCUGUUUCAUAGAGGACAUCCAACUGUGAACUCAGACUUCCUUGCUUCCCACUGGGUCAGUCCAAUGUGGUGCCACAAUCUCCCAUGGGUAAAAAAUAAAUAAAUAAAUGAACAAAAGGGGGGAGAGCUGAAUUUCAAAAUUUAAGUAUUCUAGCAAUUACGGGAGAGUCUGGUGACUGGACUUAAUUUAUCCUCAAGACAAUCCUAUGAGGAACAUAUGAUUGCCUAUGGAUAAGAAAACUAAGGCACAGACUGGUUAAGUAAUAUAUCCCGAUAUGUCAAUAGGCUCUAGAAUCCAGGUGUUUAAACACUGUGCUGUACUGUCUUUCAAUGAGAUGAUACAUGGAAAAUGCUUUGACAGUGUUUGCACUAUGGAAAGAGUUCAGUAAGUAUUGGUUACUAUUAUCACUCUCCUUUUAUAUACAGACACUUAUAUUCCAGUUAAAAUUUGUCAGUUAAGGUUAUCAGUUCACUAGCAAUAAUUUUAAAUAACAGUUUGUCAAAGUAUAUUCCCUAGGAACUUCUACUAGAGUCAGGUAGUAUCUGUAGUACCCAUUCUCCAGGAUGCCCCCAGUGAUCCCAGAUUCCUGUGAGUCACACUGCCAUAUAGUCUUCUCCCUCAUUCUAUCAGGG
Molecule: long non-coding RNA, 1003 nt
Filed under: Sus scrofa (pig)
Lineage: Eukaryota; Metazoa; Chordata; Mammalia; Artiodactyla; Suidae
Description: lncRNA (ENSSSCG00045007315.1)
Source: RNAcentral